ACAUGUCUUUUUGAUUAUAAUUUAAGGUUUAAUCUGCUCAAUGAUUAUUUAAAUUGCCGCAGUAUUUUGACUGUGCAAAGGUAGCAUAAUAAUUAGUUUCUUUAUUGGGAACUGGAAUGAAUGAUUGGACGAGAAAAUUUCUGUCUCUUUAUUAUUUUAAUUGAAUUUUACUUUUAAGUUAAAAGGCUUAAAUUUUAUUAGAGGACGAGAAGACCCUAUAGAGUUUAAUUUUUAUUUAAAUAAUUAUUUUUAGUAUUUAUAUAUAUUAUUUAAAUAAAAAUUUAGUUGGGGUGACUAAAAGAUAAGAAUAACUCUUUUAAUUUUUAUCAAUUAUUUUUGAUUAUAAAAUCUUUAUUUUUAAUUUUAAAAUAAAUUACCUUAGGGAUAACAGCGUAAUUCUUUUUUAAAGUUCUUAUUAAAAGAAGAGUUUGCGACCUCGAUGUUGGAUUAAAAUUAAUUUUAGGUGUAGAAGCUUGAAAAUUAAGUCUGUUCGACUUUUAAAAUUUUACAUGAUCUGAGUUUAAACCGGUGUGAGCCAGGUUGGUUUCUAUCCUUAAUUAUAUAUUAUACUUUA
This 574-nucleotide ribosomal RNA is filed under the name Pteroptyx tener. Its description in RNAcentral is "partial large subunit ribosomal RNA". It matches the Rfam family "Bacterial large subunit ribosomal RNA", at positions 1815 to 2665 of the family's 2925-position model. The record is from RNAcentral. Lineage: Eukaryota; Metazoa; Arthropoda; Insecta; Coleoptera; Lampyridae.